GAUGAACGCUGGCGGUAUGCUUAACACAUGCAAGUCGUACGAAGAUCUUUGAUCUUAGUGGCGGACGGGUGAGUAACACGUGAGAAUCUGCCCUUAGGAAGAGGAUAACAGCUGGAAACGGUUGCUAAUACUCUAUACGCCGAGAGGUAAAAGGAUUUAUCCACCUUAGGAAGAGCUCGCGUCUGAUUAGCUUGUUGGUAAGGUAAUGGCUUACCAAGGCGACGAUCAGUAGCUGGUUUGAGAGGACGACCAGCCACACUGGGACUGAGACACGGCCCAGACUCCUACGGGAGGCAGCAGUGGGGAAUUUUCCGCAAUGGGCGAAAGCCUGACGGAGCAAUACCGCGUGAGGGAUGAAGGCCUUAGGUUGUAAAGCUCUUUUACCCGAGAUGAUAAUGACAGUAUCGGGAGAAUAAGCUCCGGCUAACUCCGUG
RNAcentral lists this ribosomal RNA (434 nucleotides) under uncultured bacterium. Its description in RNAcentral is "bacterial SSU rRNA". It matches the Rfam family "Bacterial small subunit ribosomal RNA", at positions 28 to 507 of the family's 1533-position model. The record is from RNAcentral.